AUUGAACGCUGGCGGAAUGCUUUACACAUGCAAGUCGAACGGCAGCACGGACUUCGGUCUGGUGGCGAGUGGCGAACGGGUGAGUAAUGUAUCGGAACGUGCCCAGUCGUGGGGGAUAACGUAGUGAAAAUUACGCUAAUACCGCAUACGAUCUAUGGAUGAAAGCGGGGGAUCGCAAGACCUCGCGCGAUUGGAGCGGCCGAUAUCAGAUUAGGUAGUUGGUGGGGGAACGGCCCACCAAGCCAACGAUCUGUAGCUGGUCUGAGAGGACGACCAGCCACACUGGAACUGAGAAACGGUCCAGACUCCUACGGGAGGCAGCAGUGGGGAAUUUUGGACAAUGGGCGAAAGCCUGAUCCAGCCAUUCCGCGGGCAGGAUGAAGGCCCCCGGGUUGUAAACUGCUUUUGUACAGAACGAAAAGGUUUCUACUAAUACUAGGAGCUCAUGACGGUACUGUAAGAAUAAGCACCGGCUAACUACGUUCCAGCCGCCGCCGUAA
Molecule: ribosomal RNA, 500 nt
Filed under: uncultured bacterium
Lineage: Bacteria
Description: partial 16S ribosomal RNA
Rfam family: Bacterial small subunit ribosomal RNA
Source: RNAcentral